AAAUAGAACUUUGCAGAGAGAGUUAACAGGGCGUGAAACCGUUAAUUGGCAAACGAAUCGGAGCCACGAAGUCGUUUCGCUGAUAAGUUGGGCCGAGUUCAGCUAAGUAACAAAAUUAUUUAGUGUAUUCUCGUAGUUCAACCUAAAAUUGUAAACGUACACUGCAACCAGUUAGACGAUUGAUGAUGGGCACAGUUAGUUAGGGGGCAACCUCUGGUUAACGAAGCACUUGUCUAUUUUAGUUAGUAAUAGCAUGGCUAUUUCGGUAGUUUGUGUUGUUGGGCUUUAAUAGGUGAACUAUUAUCAAAUACUGACUGGCAAAAUAAAAACCGCUUCUAUGCGUUUUAUAGAAAGCAAUUGUUUAUAUUAGUGUCCACAUAUCUAACCAUGGAGUUUAAGCUCAACAUCUUUGAAUUUGGACUUGCUUGCUACCAAUGGGGCAACUCUUGGUGCUUGUAUAGAUUCAUCUAAUCGGGUGUUGACUUGACUUUAUGUUGUUUAGGUAUGAAACGAUCGGAUGUUAAUAUAAUAUGAUUCGCAAUCAUUAGCAGUGAGUAGGUCGGCUUUCCGAACGACCCGUCUUGAAACACGGACCAAGGAGUCUAAUUAGGCAUCAGUCGAUCGGUCUUGAUAGGCCAGACUGGGAGGUUUUCCUUCCGAUUGAAGGCGUAUAGAAAUCAAAUCAUGUGAUCAUUUGGGUAAAAACAACCCUUAUGCGCAACAUGUGCCUGUUCGUAUAGUAAUGUUAGCAAUAACUUACUGGGCGGAGCAAAAAAAUGCUUGAUUGGUACCCCAAAGAUGGUGAACUAUGCUUGGGCAAAUUGAAGCCAGAGGAAACUCUGGUGGAGGAUUGUAGCGAUUCUGACGUGCAAAUCGAUCGUCAGACCUGAGUAUAGGGGCGAAAGACUAAUCGAACCAUC
RNAcentral lists this ribosomal RNA (920 nucleotides) under Longisolenidionus amurensis. RNAcentral's name for it is "eukaryotic LSU rRNA". It matches the Rfam family "Eukaryotic large subunit ribosomal RNA", at positions 366 to 944 of the family's 3401-position model. The record is from RNAcentral. Lineage: Eukaryota; Metazoa; Arthropoda; Arachnida; Trombidiformes; Eriophyidae.